UGAUGAUGAUGAUGAUGAUGAUGAUGAUGAUGAUGAUGAUUAUGAUGAUGAUGAUGAUUGCAACCAUCAUCAUGGUCAUGAUAUUCAACCAUGAUG
Molecule: microRNA precursor, 96 nt
Filed under: Guillardia theta CCMP2712
Lineage: Eukaryota; Cryptophyceae; Pyrenomonadales; Geminigeraceae
Description: microRNA mir-598
Source: RNAcentral